RNAcentral lists this ribosomal RNA (489 nucleotides) under uncultured bacterium. RNAcentral's name for it is "partial 16S ribosomal RNA". It matches the Rfam family "Bacterial small subunit ribosomal RNA", at positions 30 to 507 of the family's 1533-position model. The record is from RNAcentral.
AUUGAACGCUGGCGGCAGGCCUAACACAUGCAAGUCGAACGGUAACAGGAAGAAGCUUGCUUCUUUGCUGACGAGUGGCGGACGGGUGAGUAAUGUCUGGGAAACUGCCUGAUGGAGGGGGAUAACUCUGGAAACGGUAGCUAAUACCGCAUAACGUCGCAAGACCAAAGAGGGGGACCUUCGGGCCUCUUGCCAUCGGAUGUGCCCAGAUGGGAUUAGCUAGUAGGUGGGGUAACGGCUCACCUAGGCGACGAUCCCUAGCUGGUCUGAGAGGAUGACCAGCCACACUGGAACUGAGACACGGUCCAGACUCCUACGGGAGGCAGCAGUGGGGAAUAUUGCACAAUGGGCGCAAGCCUGAUGCAGCCAUGCCGCGUGUAUGAAGAAGGCCUUCGGGUUGUAAAGUACUUUCAGCGGGGAGGAAGGGAGUAAAGUUAAUACCUUUGCUCAUUGACGUUACCCGCAGAAGAAGCACCGGCUAACUCCGUG